This 505-nucleotide ribosomal RNA is filed under the name uncultured bacterium. RNAcentral's name for it is "bacterial SSU rRNA". It matches the Rfam family "Bacterial small subunit ribosomal RNA", at positions 15 to 518 of the family's 1533-position model. The record is from RNAcentral.
GAUCCUGGCUAGGACGAACGCUGGCGGCGUGCUUAACACAUGCAAGUCGAACGAAGCGGCAGUGAAGGAGGCUUCGGCCAAUGGAUCUGUCGACUUAGUGGCGGACGGGUGAGUAACGCGUGAGCAACCUGCCUUUCAGAGGGGGAUAACGUUUGGAAACGAACGCUAAUACCGCAUGAAGUAUCUUUGCUGCAUGACAGAGAUACCAAAGGAGCAAUCCGCUGAAAGAUGGGCUCGCGUCCGAUUAGAUAGUUGGUGGGGUAACGGCCUACCAAGUCGACGAUCGGUAGCCGGACUGAGAGGUUGAACGGCCACAUUGGGACUGAGACACGGCCCAGACUCCUACGGGAGGCAGCAGUGGGGAAUAUUGCACAAUGGGCGAAAGCCCUGAUGCAGCAACGCCGCGUGAGGGAAGACGGUUUUCGGAUUGUAAACCUUUGUCCUUGGUGAAGAUAGUGACGGUAGCCGAGGAGGAAGCCACGGCUAACUACGUGCCAGCCGCUGC